This 497-nucleotide ribosomal RNA is filed under the name uncultured bacterium. RNAcentral's name for it is "partial 16S ribosomal RNA". It matches the Rfam family "Bacterial small subunit ribosomal RNA", at positions 28 to 507 of the family's 1533-position model. The record is from RNAcentral.
GAUGAACGCUGGCGGCGUGCCUAAUACAUGCAAGUCGAGCGAACGGACGAGAAGCUUGCUUCUCUGAUGUUAGCGGCGGACGGGUGAGUAACACGUGGAUAACCUACCUAUAAGACUGGGAUAACUUCGGGAAACCGUAGCUAAUACCGGAUAAUAUUUUGAACCGCAUGGUUCAAAAGUGAAAGACGGUCUUUCUGUCACUUAUAGAUGGAUCCUCGCUGCAUUAGCUAGUUGGUAAGGUAACGGCUUACCAAGGCAACGAUGCAUAGCCGACCUGAGAGGGUGAUCGGCCACACUGGAACUGAGACACGGUCCAGACUCCUACGGGAGGCAGCAGUAGGGAAUCUUCCGCAAUGGGCGAAAGCCUGACGGAGCAACGCCGCGUGAGUGAUGAAGGGCUUCGGAUCGUAAAACUCUGUUAUUAGGGAAGAACAUAUGUGUAAGUAACUGUGCACAUCUUGACGGUACCUAAUCAGAAAGCCACGGCUAACUAAGUG